This 514-nucleotide ribosomal RNA is filed under the name Rhodotorula glutinis. RNAcentral's name for it is "eukaryotic LSU rRNA". It matches the Rfam family "Eukaryotic large subunit ribosomal RNA", at positions 62 to 579 of the family's 3401-position model. The record is from RNAcentral. Lineage: Eukaryota; Fungi; Basidiomycota; Microbotryomycetes; Sporidiobolales; Sporidiobolaceae.
AAACUAACAAGGAUUCCCCUAGUAGCGGCGAGCGAAGCGGGAAGAGCUCAAAUUUAUAAUCUGGCACCUUCGGUGUCCGAGUUGUAAUCUCUAGAAGUGUUUUCCGCGUUGGACCGCACACAAGUCUGUUGGAAUACAGCGGCAUAGUGGUGAAACCCCCGUAUAUGGUGCGGACGCCCAGCGCUUUGUGAUACACUUUCAAUGAGUCGAGUUGUUUGGGAAUGCAGCUCAAAUUGGGUGGUAAAUUCCAUCUAAAGCUAAAUAUUGGCGAGAGACCGAUAGCGAACAAGUACCGUGAGGGAAAGAUGAAAAGCACUUUGGAAAGAGAGUUAACAGUACGUGAAAUUGUUGGAAGGGAAACGCUUGAAGUCAGACUUGCUUGCCGGAGCUUGCUUCGGUUUGCAGGCCAGCAUCAGUUUUCCGGGGUGGAUAAUGACGGUUUGAAGGUAGCAGUCUCGGCUGUGUUAUAGCUUUCCGUUGGAUACAUCCUGGGGGACUGAGGAACGCAGCGUGC